Molecule: unclassified non-coding RNA, 2232 nt
Filed under: uncultured Acetivibrio sp.
Lineage: Bacteria; Bacillati; Bacillota; Clostridia; Acetivibrionales; Acetivibrionaceae
Description: partial contains 16S ribosomal RNA, 16S-23S ribosomal RNA intergenic spacer, and 23S ribosomal RNA
Rfam family: Bacterial small subunit ribosomal RNA (bases 1-1476)
Source: RNAcentral
GAUGAACGCUGGCGGCGCAUUUAAGACAUGCAAGUCGAACGAAAAUAUAUUUUUUGUUUACAAUGAAUAUAUUUUAGUGGCGGACGGGUGAGUAAUACGUAGAUAAUCUGCCUUCCAGAGAGAAAUAACAAGAGGAAACUCUUGCUAAUGUCGCAUAAGACCACGCUGUGGCAUCACAGAGAGGUCAAAGGGGAAACCCGCUGGAAGAUGAGUCUACGGCUGAUUAGCUAGUUGGAGAGGUAAGAGCUCACCAAGGCGAUGAUCAGUAGCCGGGCUGAGAGGCUGACCGGCCACAUUGGGACUGAGACACGGCCCAUACUCCUACGGGAGGCAGCAGUUGGGAAUAUUGGACAAUGGAGGAAACUCUGAUCCAGUGACGCCGCGUGAAGGAAGAAGGUCUUCGGAUUGUAAACUUAUUUUAUCAGGGAAGAAAAAAAUGACUGUACCUGAAGAAAAAGCACCGGCUAACUACGUGCCAGCAGCCGCGGUAAUACGUAGGGUGCAAGCGUUAUCCGGAUUUACUGGGUGUAAAGGGCGAGUAGACGGCGUUGCAAGUCAGAUGUGAAAACCUAGGGCUCAACCGUAGGACUGCAUCUGAAACUGUAAUGCUAGAGUGCAGGAGAGGUAAGUGGAAUUCCUAGUGUAGCGGUGAAAUGCGUAGAUAUUAGGAGGAACACCAGUGGCGAAGGCGACUUACUGGACUGUAACUGACGUUGAGGAGCGAAAGUGUGGGGAGCAAACAGGAUUAGAUACCCUGGUAGUCCACACUGUAAACGAUGGAUACUAGGUGUAGGCAUGAAUGUGUCUGUGCCGGCGCAAACGCAAUAAGUAUCCCACCUGGGGAGUACGGCCGCAAGGUUGAAACUCAAAGGAAUUGACGGGGGCCCGCACAAGCAGUGGAGUAUGUGGUUUAAUUCGACGCAACGCGAAGAACCUUACCAAGACUUGACAUAUACAGGAAAGACUAAGAAAUUAGUCCCCACUUCGGUGUCUGUAAACAGGUGAUGCAUGGUUGUCGUCAGCUCGUGUCGUGAGAUGUUGGGUUAAGUCCCGCAACGAGCGCAACCCUCGUGAUUAGUUGCCUCCUGGAGGAACUCUAAUCAGACUGCCGUAGUUAAUACGGAGGAAGGUGAGGAUGAUGUCAAAUCAUCACGUCCCUUAUGUCUUGGGCUACACACGUACUACAAUGGGCGUUACAAAGAGAAGCGAAACCGCGAGGUGGAGCAAAACUGAAAAAGGCGUCCCUAGUUCGGAUUGUAGGCUGAAACUCGCCUACAUGAAGCUGGAAUUGCUAGUAAUCAUAGGUCAGCAUACUAUGGUGAAUACGUUCCCGGGCCUUGUACACACCGCCCGUCACACCAUGAGAGUUGAGAAUACCCGAAGUCCAUGUCAAAGUGGCCGAAGGUAGGCUUGAUGAUUGGGGUGAAGUCGUAACAAGGUAGCCGUAUCGGAAGGUGCGGCUGGAUCACCUCCUUUCUAAGGAGAAAUGUUUGACUUGUAUUGUUUAUUUUUGAGUGUGCUAAACACACUAUGCUUGUCAGGGCCCGUAGCUCAGAUGGUUAGAGUGCACGCCUGAUAAGCGUGAGGUCACAAGUUCGAUUCUUGUCGGGCCCACCAUAUAAGUUUAGUGUGAGUACAUUCAAAGCACAUUGAAAAAUAUAUAAUGUAAAAGUAACAAGCAAAAAUUAGUAAUACAGCAAGAAAAUUCAACUUAUGAAAAUAAGGAAAAAAUUAGGUUAAGCUAGUAAGAGCGUAGGGUGAAUGCCUAGGUACCAAGAGACGAAGAAAGACGUGACAAGCUGCGAAAAGCUAUGGAGAGGAGCAAAUAUCCAGAGACCCAUAGAUGUCUGAAUGGGGGAACCCACUGUGAGUAAGAAACACAGUAUCCAUACAUGAAUAUAUAGUGUAUGAGAAGUGAAACGAGGUGAACUGAAACAUCUAAGUAACCUCAGGAAAAGAAAGAGAAAUCGAUUCCGUGAGUAGUGGCGAGCGAAAGCGGAGGAGCCCAAACCGAGAGUAGAAAUACAUUCGGGGUUUAGGACUACAAUAAGUUACUUAAAGUCAUAGCAGAAAUGUUUUGGGAAAGCAUACCAAAGAGAGUGAAAGUCUCGUAAGCGAAAUGAUGAUAAGGACGAGUAGAAUCCAGAGUACGGCAGGACACGAGAAAUCCUGUCGGAAGCAGGUCAGACCACUGACCAAGGCUAAAUACUACUUGGUGACCGAUAGUGAAGC